UUGACCUCAGAUCAGGUAGGACUACCCGCUGAACUUAAGCAUAUCAAUAAGCGGAGGAAAAGAAACUAACAAGGAUUCCCCUAGUAACUGCGAGUGAAGCGGGAAAAGCUCAAAUUUAAAAUCUGGCGGUCCUCUGGCCGUCCGAGUUGUAAUCUGGAGAAGCGUUUUCCGCGUCGGACCGUGUACAAGUCUUCUGGAACGGAGCGUCAUAGAGGGUGAGAAUCCCGUCUCUGACACGGACUGCCGAUGCUUCAUGUGAUACGCUCUCGAAGAGUCGAGUUGUUUGGGAAUGCAGCUCAAAAUGGGUGGUAAAUUCCAUCUAAAGCUAAAUAUUGGCGAGAGACCGAUAGCGAACAAGUACCGUGAGGGAAAGAUGAAAAGCACUUUGGAAAGAGAGUUAAACAGUACGUGAAAUUGUUGAAAGGGAAACGUUUGAAGUCAGUCGCGUCGGCCGGGACUCAACCUUGCUAUCUUGCUCGGUGCACUUCUCGGUUGACGGGUCAGCAUCAAUUUUGACCGUCGGAUAAAGGCCGAGGGAACGUGGCAUCCUCCGGGGUGUGUUAUAGCCCUUGGUUCGCAUACGGCGAUUGGGAUUGAGGAACUCAGCACGCCUUCAUUGGUCGGGGCUUAAUCGCUCACGUUAACGUGCUUAGGAUGCUGCAUA
This 664-nucleotide ribosomal RNA is filed under the name uncultured Atheliaceae. Its description in RNAcentral is "eukaryotic LSU rRNA". It matches the Rfam family "Eukaryotic large subunit ribosomal RNA", at positions 1 to 632 of the family's 3401-position model. Lineage: Eukaryota; Fungi; Basidiomycota; Agaricomycetes; Atheliales; Atheliaceae. The record is from RNAcentral.